RNAcentral lists this ribosomal RNA (699 nucleotides) under uncultured Bacteroidota bacterium. Its description in RNAcentral is "bacterial SSU rRNA". It matches the Rfam family "Bacterial small subunit ribosomal RNA", at positions 8 to 701 of the family's 1533-position model. Lineage: Bacteria; Pseudomonadati; Bacteroidota. The record is from RNAcentral.
AGAGUUUGAUCAUGGCUCAGGAUGAACGCUAGCGGCAGGCCUAAUACAUGCAAGUCGAACGGUAACAUUGGUGCUUGCACCAGAUGACGAGUGGCGCACGGGUGCGUAACGCGUAUGCAACCUACUUUUUACUAGAGUAUAGCCCAGAGAAAUUUGGAUUAAUCCUCUAUAACAUCUUUUAAUUUCAUGAUUUUAAGAUUAAAGUUUUAACGGUAAAAGAUGGGCAUGCGUCCUAUUAGUUUGUAGGUGAGGUAACGGCUCACCUAGACUACGAUAGGUAGGGGCCCUGAGAGGGGGAUCCCCCACACUGGUACUGAGACACGGACCAGACUCCUACGGGAGGCAGCAGUAAGGAAUAUUGGACAAUGGACGAAAGUCUGAUCCAGCCAUGCCGCGUGCAGGAUGACAGCCCUACGGGUUGUAAACUGCUUUUAUACAGGAAGAAACACUCCGACGUGUCGGAGCUUGACGGUACUGUAAGAAUAAGGAUCGGCUAACUCCGUGCCAGCAGCCGCGGUAAUACGGAGGAUCCAAGCGUUAUCCGGAAUCAUUGGGUUUAAAGGGUCCGCAGGCUGUUUUUUAAGUCAGAGGUGAAAUCCUACAGCUCAACUGUAGAACUGCCUUUGAUACUGGAAAACUUGAGUUAUUGUGAAGUGGUUANAAUGUGUGGGGUAGCGGUGAAAAUGCAUANAUAUCNCC